AAAGUCCUAAUACAGAUACAAAAAACAAAAAGCCUAAAUUUGAUACAAGCCCUAAAAGACCUGCCACCCACACUCAAGCUACCACCGCAAGAAGGCUUACGAGAAAAUCCAAGAGAUUUGUUCAGCCCUAAAAGACCUGCCAUCCCUAGAGGUUCUGAUCUCUAUCCAACUCUUCUUUUCUUCAAAAGAGAUUUGUUUUCUUAAAUUUUUGCUCUCAUUCAUCAACAGAGAGUUUGUUGAGGCAUCUCCAGGUUGAAGCUAACUUAAGUCUCAUCUCCUUUAUACUAGGUAAGAUUAAUGUUAUAUACUUGUUUAUUAAUUUAUUUAUUUGUCAAGUAAAAGAUAAAUUGGGAAUAAAUUAUUGGGGUAGCUAAUUCUACUAAUUUAUAUGUUUCUUUACUCUUUGUGAAGGUAAUCAGGUAAAUUAAAGCAAAGACCUCGAAUAGAUUUUUUGUCGGCCUUCCUAAAUAUGUUUUUAAUUUCAAUCAGGAUAAUUCUCUCUAAUUAGUUUACAAAUCGCCAUGGUCUGUGAUUACGACUUUAGACUUUUGUUGAUUAGUAGAUUGUUGAUUUCUUUGUUUUGUUUUUGUUUUGUUGUCGUUUCUUUGCCGAUUAGUGUAUCUUUAGGCUUCAGGCGUUAGUGUGUUGUUAAUAUUGUGGAGUCUUCAUUCUUGAAGCAAUUCUCAUUAGAUGUAAUAACUUUAAAGUUAGGAAGAUGAAACAAUCGACCCUUGAGAACUUUGGUAUGAAUGCUUCUGCUUUCUAUUAUUCAUCUCUUAGUUUCUUACUUUGAGUCAAUAGAAAGUUAAUAUGACAAGCAAGCGCCUCGCGAUCUUGGUUUUCAUAUCUGUUUAGAAUGACAAAUAAGUUACUACCUUCAUCCAAAAUAUAGCCAUUUUACAUUCUUUAAACAUAAACAUGUGAUGUCAAGAACACAAAUGAAUGAACAUAUUACAAGUAUUCUCUAUUUCACCUAGCCUAAUAUGUACACAAGUUCUUUCAUAUUUUCUUGCUUUAUGAUCUUAUACACAAAGUUAUAGGUUUGGGAUUUCCUUUCCUUGAAUCCUGCAGUUGAAAACAUAAGCAGUACUUCUAUUUUCAGGUCCAGGAAGCAAAUUACUACUGGGAUUGCUUGAGGAGCCAGCUGCAAGUGAAAAUAUUUGGUAAGUAAGUUUUGUGUUCUUGAAAAUCUGUGUUAAUAGGUGGUGUGGAAAUAUUUGGAAAUAUUUGAAAAGAAAGUGCAACAUUUAGUACCACCAUUCCUUCUUGUGUUGAGUAGUUGGAACCUAAGUCUGGAUCAAUCAAUUCCAAUAUACUCCCGCACUCUUGCAUAACAUAAGCCUAUUCCAAAUAGAUCAAAAUUUUGAAUAGUUAAUGUACUGGGAAAAUAUAACUUGUUAAGCAAAAUUUGAGAGUUUUGAGUCUGAAUGUACAAGUUGAUAUAGGGAACAAUAAUGACAUGCCAUUACUAGAUGUUCUGGUUUACAUGAAAAUGAAAAUAGAAGGGGAAGUCCUUUUUAAGGAUGAUGGAAGCACAAUAAGAGUUACCCAGUCAAGAAGAUAAACAGUUAAUACAGUUACUUGCUAAUUUACAGAGAAUUCUGACAUUAAACAAUCUCCUUAUUUCUUAAUAUUUGAAGUAGCAAUAAGAUAGCUGGUGUUUUUUUUAAGUUCACUAAUAGCUCUUUUGAAAUCCAAAAUGGGAAUUACAAUUUAAGUAAGUAGGAUGCCAUGGUGCUAAUAAUUAGUAAACCAAGGAGUUACAUGGCAGGGAAAGAGAGGUGGAGUUAUAACAAUAAAGAUUUAUAUUACUGCUCUAUAAAGGCGAUUUAAUAUCUAGAAAAAAAAAGCUAUAUUUCUCUAGGUAACUAAUAAGUUCUUGGCUUGCUUUACUUUUUAGGAGAUUAUACCUGCCAGAAUUGCUGUGUGAUGAGAACAGUACCAUGAUUGUUUCAAAAUACACGAGAUAAUGCAUAUAACUUUUCAGUAUUAUCACAUAUAUGCUACUUUAGCACAUUAGUUGGUCUCGCCAUUAAUAUCAUUGUCAUAGUUUGCAUUUCUUUCUUUUUUUUGCAGUAGAGAAAGCUUUAGAUUAAAUGAUAUAAUUAUGUAUCUCCAGUAAUUUCUGAAAUUUGUUAUUUAGAUCUUAAUUUUUAUGAUUUGCAUUUGUGACCCAUAGGAGAUUUAAUAUUCAAUGGAUCAUGGAGAUAAAAGUUGGAUGGGUCUCCGAAGAUCCACAGAUGAGUAUAGUCGCUGAGUGAAUGAUUUUCUUGAUAAGGCAUUUGAACGGGCUUCUCAAGACAAUGAAAUAUUAUGUUCUUGCAAAAAAUGUGCUAAUUGUUAUUGGCGCAUUAGAAAUGUGGUAGAGGAUCACUUGGUUGGUUAUGAAUUUAUUCAAGGAUACACCAAAUGGAUUUCCACGGGGAAAAGAUUUUCUCGAGAAAUAAUCCACAUCCAAGUAAUGGUGAUGAAGGUUCCAACAUGUAUGAUGAUAUUGAUGGACUACUUCAUGACACUUUUAGAAAUAUUGAGGGUGACAUGAGGCAUGAAGAAGGUGUGCGAGAGGGACCAUCUGAAGAUGCAAAGAAAUUUUUUAAAUUAGUGGAGGAAGGAAAACAAGAGUUAUAUCCGGAAUGUGAGAAUUUUUCAAACUAAGUUUCACCAUUCGAUUGUACUUAAUCAAAUGCAUUCAUGGCUUGAGUAAUGUGGCUUUUUCAGACUUGUUAGACUUGUUAAAAGAGGCAUUUCCAUUUGCUAAGCUACCCGAGUCUUUUUACAAGGCAAAAAAUAUGAUAAAAGAUUUGGGUCUUCAAUAUGAAAACAUACAUGUGUGCCCUAAGGAUUGCAUGCUUUUUUGGAAUGAAAAUGAGAAGAAUGAUAAUUGCUUUGUAUAUGGAACUUCUAGAUGGAAGAAUGUUGUUGAUGGCGUGACUGCUGCAAGCUCAUAGGUUUUAAGGUACUUUCCCUUAAAGCCUAGACUUCAGAGGAUAUUCAUGUGCUCUGAACCAGCUGCAGCUAUGAGAUGGCAUGCUACUGAAUGACCCAAUGAUGAGAUUUAAAACAUCCUGUUGAUGGGGAAGCGUGGAGGAAUUUUGAUUUCUUGCACAAGGAUUUCUCUUGGGAUCCUUGUAAUGUUAGAUUGGGUCUUUCAAGUGAUGGUUUUAACCCGGUUUGAACCAUGAGCAUUUUUCAUAGCACAUUGCCCGCUAUGCUAAUGAACUAUAAUUUAUCACUAUAUAUUUGCAUGAAGCCGAAGUAUAUAAUGUUGUCAAUGAUCAUUCCGGGUCCUUCUUCACCAGGAAAUGAUAUAGAUGUGUACUUACAACCACUAAUUGCUGAAUUGAAGGAACUAUGGGAAACAAGGGUAGAAACAUAUGAUGCUAAAUUUGACCAAAUAUUUCAAAUGCGUGCAGCCUUGUUGUGGACAGUUAGUGAUUUUCCAGCACUAGCAAUGCUUUCCGGAUGGAGCACCAAGGGGAGACUGGCAUGCCCGACUUGUAAUUAUGGCACAUGCUCUCAGUAUCUCAAACAUAGUUGUAAGAUGUGUUACUUGGGUCAUCGGGCAUUUUUGCCUCCUGAUCAUCUAUUUCGAAGAGAUAAGAAAUCAUUUGAUGGUAAAGAGGAUCAUAGAACAGCACCUACUCCCUUGUCAGGUGUAGAUGUGUCAGAAGAAUUGCGUGAAUUUAAUCAUGUCUUUGGAAAGGGUCAAAAGAAACAACGUCGGGGUAAUGAGGGUCCAUGGAAGAAAAAAUCAAUCUUUUUUGAAAUGCCGUAUUGGGCACAUAACAAAUUGAGACACAAUCUUGAUAUAAUGCACAUCGAGAAGAACAUAUGUGAUAGUUUGCUUGGUACUUUAUUGGAUAUGCCUGGAAAGUCAAAAGAUCAUGUAAAUUUCUCGCUAUGACUUGGAAGAGAUGGGGAUACAAAAAGAGCUUCAACCAUUAAAAGAUAAGGAUAAUAAAAAAGUUUAUUUGGCUAAAGCUUGUUUCUCCAUGAAACAGAAGAGAAAAGUUGUUUUGCACUGUUUUAAAAAAUGUGAAAUUACCAAAAGGGUGUGGGUCAAUUAUAUCACGACGUGGGUAAGUGGAGAAAAAGAAAGUAUCAGGGUACAAGAGUCAUGAUGCUCAUUUUAUCAUGCAUUACUUGCUCUAGAUUGCAGUUAGAAAAGUGUUGCCCAAGAAUGUUUCUUUGGUCUUGAUUAGGUUGGGGAACUUCUUUAGAGCCAUAUGUAGCAAAGUUAUAAGGCGAAGAGAUGUUGAUAAAAUGCAAUCUGAAAUCAAUGAAAUUGAAUGUGACCUUGAAAAGAUCUUUCCUCCAACUUUUUUUGACAUAAUGGAAUAUUUGCCUAUCCAUUUAGUAGAUGAAAUUAAGCUUGGGGGUCCGACUCAUUUACGUUAGAUGUAUCCUAAUGAGAGAAAUCUGUGUAAUUAUAAGGCAUUUGUUCGUAAUUGAUAUCAUUCAGAAUCGUCAAUAGCGGAGGAAUUUUUGGCCGAAGAGUGCUUGACCUUUUGUUCGAGAUACCUACAUGAUGAGGUAAAAACAAGAUUUGGCAGGUAUCAAACAGAAGAUGAUGAAGGGCUUGAAACAGAGGGAGAUGAUAUGUCACCUAUAUUCCCUAAGAUAGGCCAUCCAAUCAGAUGUCAGAAGAAAAACAAAGGCAAUGCAUUUACCAUGGGUUUACAAUUAUGUUUUGAAGCACAUCGAUAUGUUCUGUUCAAUACCGGAUAUGAACAAAUGGAGAUAUUUAUCCAGUAAGAUAAUUAUCAUUUUUAUUAUAAACAUUAUUAAUUUAUUUAUAUGAUAUGAUAAUUUAUACUUUAUUCAUAAAGGCCUAAUAUAUAAAUCUAAAAUAUUCAUGUUUACAGGGAACAUAAGAGUUUAAUUGAUAAUAAUACAAGAUCAAAUGCAUGGAUUAGAGAACGAAAUCAUAGUUAGGAAUUCGGCAACUGGUUCUAAGAGAAAGUUAAAACUUUUGAAGUGCCAAAUCAUUUACAAUGGCUAGCCAAAGGGCCAAAUAUAGUUGCAAAAAGAUAUACUGGAUAUUUCAUCAAUGGAUACCGAUUUCAUACGAUGGAACGAGAUAGCCGAGUCAAGACUCAAAAUAAUGGAGUGACUUUGUCAACAAAAACUGAUAGUUUAGCUAGUCCUAGAGAUUCAAAUCCUAUCGAUGGAGAGGUUAUCUAUUAUGGAUCUAUUCGGGAUAUUAUUGAGAUUGAUUAUUGGGGUUGUUUUAGUAUUUUAUUGUUUAGAUGUGAUUGGUUCCAUAAUGAAAUAGAUGAAUAUGACUUAACUCGGGUAUGCUUCAACAGAUUAUGUAGUGUCGAUGACCCCUUUGUAUUGACAUCUAAAGUGCAUCAAGUUUUUUAUGUGGAGGAUCCAAUAGAGAAAGAUUUUUAUUACCCAAGAAACAGAGUCCUUAAUAACUUGUAUGAUUUGGAGGAAGAGUAUUAUGAUAAUAAUACAGACACAUUUUGGAGGGAGCUUGAUGAUGACAUUGGUUCAUUAGUUAGAUUACCUGAUGUUGAUGUUAUAUAGUCGAGAGAAGAUAUUCAUAGUGAUGUCAUUGAUAUGCCAUCUCAUGCAGAGCUUUUACAAGAUACAAAUAUAGAAACAUCGGAAGAAGAGGAUGAUAUUGAUGAUACUAAUUGGGAUUGGAUAGAUGCUGAUGAUUGAAGAGUAAUUUCUGAACUUUUUUUAAAAUUACAAAUAUGAAAACUUCAGAAGAGUUCUCUUUUGCAUUUUCUUCUAUUCUUCUUUGUACCGUCACUUUGAAAGAAAAUGGAAAAGAAUGUUAUUUGAUAUUGCUUCUUUGAUUGUUCUAUAAUUUUAUUUGAAUGCAAUUUUCUUUGCCUGUUGUGUAAUUUUGGAUCGUAAAUCAAGUAUUUUUCUUCACGUCAAUCUUGAUUUCAGGUCCUUAAAUUUGUUGGUAGAUAGGAACAAUGUUUAGAUUGUUUUCUUAUAUACUAAUUUGGCUCUAGUUGUUUUAUGUUUUAUCAUUUUGAUAGAGUUUGAUAGUCAUGAGGCAAGACGAAUGUCUGAAACAAAAGAAAAAAAUAAAAAACUCGACAUGUAUUAAUGUUGGAACACUUGCCUCUUUGGCAUACCAAAAAAAAUUAUUGCUGACCAGAAAAACAAAGGUUCCAGCUAGCUGUAUACGGUCAAGUGAAGAGGGUGAGCAUCUUCAAAAUUUAGUUGAAGACCAUCAGAUACUAACUGAAACAACCACCCCUGCAACAGAAAUAUUAGAGGAGGAAAUGCAAUUGAAUUCAACUGUUGAUGAACAAGAACAAUGUGAACUACAAGG
Molecule: long non-coding RNA, 6304 nt
Filed under: Nicotiana tabacum (common tobacco)
Lineage: Eukaryota; Viridiplantae; Streptophyta; Magnoliopsida; Solanales; Solanaceae
Description: long non-coding RNA (NTAB_LNC010907)
Source: RNAcentral